Calypte anna (Anna's hummingbird) is the source of this 3016-nucleotide RNA transcript. It is a transcript of the gene named charged multivesicular body protein 6, with no coding region annotated. The record is from RefSeq and is a predicted model, not a curated record. The transcript is spliced from 9 exons. Lineage: Eukaryota; Metazoa; Chordata; Aves; Apodiformes; Trochilidae.
CGUCGGGGGCGGUUCCGUGCGUGCCGGGCCGGGCGGUGUCGGCCAUGGGGAACCUGUUCGGGCGGAAGCGGCGGAGCCGGGUCACGGAGCAGGACAAGGCGGUGCUGCAACUGAAGCAGCAGCGGGACAAGCUCCGGCAGUACCAGAAGCGAAUCAGCCUCAACCUGGAGCGGGAGCGGGCGCUGGCCCGGCAGCUGCUGCGGGAGGGCCGUAAGGAAAAAGCCCUGCUCCUGCUGAAGAAGAAACGUUACCAAGAGCAACUCCUGGAUAAAACAGAGAAUCAAGUCAGCAACUUGGAGCAGAUGGUCCAGGAUAUUGAAUUCACCCAGAUUGAAAUGAAAGUCAUUGAGGGCCUGAAAAUAGGCAAUGAAUGUCUGCACAAAAUGCACCAGGUUAUGUCAAUAGAAGAAGUAGAAAGAAUAAUAGGUGAAACACAAGAUGCUGUGGAGUACCAGAGGCAAAUAGAUGAGAUGCUGGCUGGCUGCCUGACUGAGGAAGAUGAAGAUGCCAUCCUAGAAGAAUUAAAUGCUAUUACUCAGGAACAGGUGGAGCUUCCAGAAGUUCCUUCUGAGCCACUCCCAGAAAAGAUCCCAGCUCCUGCCAUCCAGACUGCACAGAGCUGAAUGUCACUGAGGUUCAGGAGCUGUUCUGCCUCUCGUGACCUCGCUUCAAGUAACAAGAGGAAUUCUGAGCUGGCUGGAUGAGGAUUGCUGGAGGCCCACAGUGCCAGGACUGGAAUGCUCUGUGUCUGUGUGCUCCUGAGCUAUCCAGAGCCUCAGCAGCAGGAAGCAUCACCCAUCAAGAACAGCCCAAAACCAGAACUGGUGGCAGCAUCUUAACUCCCACUGCUGGGGAUUCCCCCACGUAACUUUCACCCAGGACAGUUUGCCAUCCCAGCGUGUGCUGGGAACAAGCAAUGCCUUGGCAGCAUCCCAGCUGUGCUGGGCAGAUUGUGGAGCAGGAUUCCCUGUGCAGGGUGGGGAACCUCAGCUGAUUAUUGCUCUUGUAUCAAGAUUAUUUUCUAGUGCUUUCUUUUUUUGUAACUUAAAUUCCAAACUCACUCAGCUGCGCUGUCUCGGGAUUAAACAACAACUCUCAAACUUCCGAAGCCAAAUCCUUUCUCUAGGUUUGAUUUCAGUGGUGAAUCUGCCUUUGCUCUGCCCGAUUCCCUGGGAAGUUCCACCUUGGAGCAAUGGGGUGUUUGAUUCAGCUGUCCUGGGCCCCAGCCCCUGCCCUCAGGAGCCUGCUGGACCACGCACCCUCCCUCUCCUGGUUCUAUCUGUGGAAGGGCUGCUCCUGUCAGCCUCCUGUCAAGCUGAGAGUGUCCCAUGUGAGCAAAGGUCAGUGGCUGCUGGGCUGGCAGGGGAGAAGCCUGAUCUGCUGAGUGAGAUGAAGAGCCUGAGCCAGGAGUGGUCAGGAGCCAUUCCCAUCCAGGUCCCUCUGGUGAGCUGUGGUGCUGAGUGAGACCUGGGGUGACAGAAGUCUGAUGAGCCUCUUGAAGUCACAGCAAGGAGUCUUCUGCAUACGACACAAGCCAGGAGUCCUCCCUCGUUGGCUCUGCACCAUCAUCAAGUUCACCUUCACACCCUUCAGAUGGCCCAAGAUCCAUCCCACCUCCAGUCCUCAGCUCCUGGUUGUUGUUUCCCCAUGGGAAUGGGGACAGGACAGGUCAGGCUGGGGUAAACCUGGGGCCCAUUCUGCACCAGCCACGAGGCACGAAGCUUCUCAAAACAACACUCCAAAGACUCUGCUCAGUGAGUAGCUGGAGGGGAGGACAGUUCCUGCUGAGGAUGGUGUGGUGCUCACUGUGGUGCUGGAGUGUCCAGGAGGCUGCCUGGCCAGCCAGCUGCUGGCACACUGAGCUGGUGUUGGGAGCAAGCUUGCUCGCCAGCAUGCAGAUGCUCUUCAGGACACUGCAGAUCUUUAUUUAUUAUGUUCUUGAAGCCACAACCCUGAAGUGCUGUUUGUGUGACAGCAGAAGGACUCAGAGGGUCCUUGGAGACUUUCAGUGACUGCCUUUGGGGUUGUGUGAUCUGGUGCUAGACAAUAACAACCCCAGAAGACUGCUGCUCUCCAGCCUGUGGGGCUUGGCUGGCAGCAGCUCUGGUUCUGGGUCAUCUCCAUUCACUGUGUUCCAAAGACUGACCAGGGCAUCCCUGUCCCUCCACACGGGGCCAGACUCUCACAGCCUUGGGAGUUGCUGUAUUUCCAGUUCCACUCUGCUCCCUCUUAAUGCUUCACAACCAAGCUGGGGUCCUGUAAGCCCUGGUCCCAUGUUUUCUCCCCAGUGCUGCUUCAGCAAAGCCCUUUCUGGGAGGUUGGCAGAGUGGGUUUGAACCCUCUGGGGUGCCCAUUGCCCCAGCCAGGCUCUGGGACAGCCAAACCCUUCACCAGCACCAGGCCGGGGCUGGGCCAGGGGCUGACUCUUCUCUCUUCAGUGCUUUGAUGGUUUUUCCCUCCAGGCGAGGCUGCUGCUCUGCUGGAUUCCCGUCCUGGCCUUGCAAUGCAGACUUGUCCCACCAGAGAGAGCCUUGGCUUCACCACUGCCGAAGCUCCGCAGCAUUUUUGUGCGAGGUUUUUCCUUCACGGCUGCUCCAGCCUGGGGACAGCUCGGUGAAUUAUUUUACCCUCUGUGAUUUACGUGGGUGAGUGGGUGAGUGCUGCACUCUGCCGGGGACCUUCCCAGGGAACGCAGCUUUUGCUGUGCAGGGUUGGUGUGAACCCUGUCGAAGAGGGCUGGGAGGAGGCUGUGCUCCAUCUGCCUGGGUUUUUCUUGCUCAUCAGUGUCCUGGCAGUGAGGGAGCCCCGAGCCCACCAUCCCGGGGGGAGCUGAAGGGGUUAAUGCAGCUCCUUGGGUUUGGUAGCACAGAAAAGAGGCCGUUUGCUGCACUAACAGGAAAGUUGGGAGCAGAUUGCCAGCAGCUUCCUUCCAAUCCCUGCACCAAACAGAUUGUGCUGUGUCUCCUUGGGAGGAAGAGCCCGGAGUGGUGUGUGACCUCUGUGCUGUAACAAUAAA